AGAGUUGAUCAUGGCUCAGGACAACGCUGGCGGCGUGCUUAACACAUGCAAGUCGAACGGGCACUUCGGUGCUAGUGGCGAACGGGUGAGUAAAGCGCAGGUAAUCUGCCGCAAAGAUGGGGACAACGUUCCGAAAGGGACGCUAAUACCGAAUGAAAUGUAAAUAUCGCAUGAUGUUUACAUCAAAGAUUUAUCGCUUUGCGAGGAGCCUGCGUCCGAUUAGGUAGUUGGUGGGGUAAAGGCCUACCAAGCCGACGAUCGGUAGCCGGUCUGAGAGGAUGAACGGCCACAAUGGAACUGAGACACGGUCCAUACUCC
This 318-nucleotide ribosomal RNA is filed under the name uncultured Coriobacteriales bacterium. Its description in RNAcentral is "bacterial SSU rRNA". It matches the Rfam family "Bacterial small subunit ribosomal RNA", at positions 8 to 339 of the family's 1533-position model. The record is from RNAcentral. Lineage: Bacteria; Bacillati; Actinomycetota; Coriobacteriia; Coriobacteriales.